AUGCCGCACAGCGAGGCGUCCGCCCCGGGGUCUGCGGUAGUAGCAGAGGACCCAGUGUGCCCGGGGGUCAGCGGCACCACCAGCACGUGGCACCCCUGGGGCCGGGAACCCCUGGGACCCUGCCACCCCCAGCCCUUGUGCACCCCCACCCCACGCCUGCCUCUAUUGCACCAAGCACUCCCCACAGCACCCAGCUCUGCGGGCACCCCCAGCAUCCCUAGCAGCCCAGCCCUGCCAGCACACCUUGUCUCGUGGUACCGCUGGCCCCGUGGGCAUUUCCAUCCACCCCAGUGCUUCCAGCACCCUUGGUCAUGUGGGAAAGCCCAGUGCUCCCCAUCAGCCCCAGCCCUCCCAGUGUUCCCAGCAUUCCCAGUGCUCCCAGCACCCCAGACCCCUCGAUCCAGCCCUGAGUGUCACCCCACGCUGCCCAGCACCCCCAGUACCGACAGGGAACCAGAGCCCAGUGCCACGCAGAUGGGCAUUGAGAGCCUUGCGGGUGACGCCGGGCUCCACCGCCACCGAGAAGUCCUCAACGCUCAGCUCCGAGAUGGCGGCCAUGCGACUCAGGUCGAAGCAGACACCGCCCUGGCACAGCACAGCAUGGCACGGGCAGCAGCAGGCGGUGGGGGUGUUGGGGGGGCUGGGGGCUGCGUACCUGCACGGCGUUGACACCGCCCUCCAGGCCGGUGCCAGUACCAAAGGGCACCAUCGGCACGCGGUGCUGGUAGCAGAGGGCCACCAUCUCCUGCAGCUGCUCCACGUCUCGGGGCCACACCACGGCGUCGGGGGGUGCGCACCUGGUGUGGGGCACAGCGCUCAUCGCCGGCCCCAAGGCGCAGCACGGCCCCACGGUGCUGCCCCCAGCCCCACCUGUGCAUGGACUCAUCGUGCCCGUGCUGCUGCCGCACCGCUUCCGCCACCGAGACGUUGGGAUCCCCCGCCACGGAGCGCAGGGCCUGCAGCAGGCCAGGGGGCAGCGGGUGCUGCGGGAGGGGGUCCUGUCAGCAAGUGGUCAGGGUCAGCGUGUGACCCCUCACAGCCCCCGUCACACCCACCUGGCUGCAGCACCCGCGCCGUCCCACGGCCCACACCAGCUGCAGCGCGUGCCGCAGGGCCAUGUUGGGCCUGGAGCUGUGCCCGGGGCUGCGCAUGGCUCCGUGUUCCCCAGUCCCCUCCCGCCCAGCGUUAAGGUGGCUCCAGGCACUGAACAGAGGCCUGCACAGCGUUAUCUGACCGCAGCCACACGGCCCUGCCCUGCGCGUCGGGGUCAGAGAGCAGCGCUGCUCGCCUGGUGGGCCCCACAACAUUACAGCCAGCUGUCCACACAGCAGGCACAUCCCCACGUCUCCUCUCACAUAGCUGUUCCUGUGCCCAACCUGGUGUCUCCAUGCCCAGCCGGCCAAAGACCCACACCCACCCAGGUGUCCCCACACCUCCGUUGGUAUCCCCAUAUCCACCCACAUGUCCUGCUUCAGGCCAGCCAUGCACAGCCCAGGGCUGCAGCAAGGACACAAAGACAUCUUAGGGGAGAGGAACUUUAUUUGGGACUCAGUUGGCCGCCAGCACGGAGUCGAUCCAUUCGCGGAGCUCGGUGACACGAGCGUAGACAGCGGGCACAGAGGUGGAGCAGGUGCUGCUGCCCCACGAGACGAUGCCCACCAGCGUCCAGGCGCCGUCCUUCUGGCACACCAGCGGGCCCCCGGAGUCACCCUGCGGGCAGAGGGGUGAGGAUGCGGCUGCGGAGCCGGGGGGGCCGCGGGCACGGGGAGCCGGGGGUUUGGGGCUGCGCUUUGGGGCAGGGGCACCCACCGAGCAGGAGGAGGCUCCAUCGGCCCCGGCGCACACCAUCACGUCGUAGAUGCGGAAGCCCCAGUACUGCUUGCACUGCGCGUUGGUGAGCAGGGGAAGGGCCGCUUGCUGCAGGAUGGCCGGCGUGUUUGCAUCUGUCGGAGAGCGGGAGGCAUCCAUCAGUGCCGGCUCAGCCCGGGGCUGGGGGUAAAGACGGGGAGGGGGCCACGGCCACGGUACCGUUGGCGUUGAGGAGCCCCCAGCCCGUGGUGACGCAGGUCAGGCCCCCGGGGAAGUCGUCGGUGGCCUGGGGCAGGCAGACGGGCGCCACGCGGGCGUUCAGCUGCGCUGGGGUGGCCAGCUUGAUCAGCGCGAUGUCGUUGCGGAUGGUCAGCGCGCUGUAGUUGGGGUUCCGGAAGACCUGCGGCAGCGGCAGCACUGACAGCGCCCGCACCCCGAGUGGGGCACUGCGUGCUGGGGGAUGCAUGGGGACCCACUGUGCUCACAGCUGCCCUGGGGGUGGGGACCACAAAGCCAGCGCUGGAGGGGACCCCAGGACCCAGGCAGGGAUCCCAUCAGCACGGGGACUGAUGGGGGCCCGCUGGGCAGAGCUCCAUCCUUGCGGAACCGGGGAUGGCACUGGGACCCAAACCCGAGGGCCCAGAGGGACCCAGCACCACGAAGAAGGACUCUGUGGGGAUGCGAGUCCUCAUACAAAGGGGAAUGAGGACCAUGAGAGGACCCAACCCCGUGGACGUGGGGCACCCAUCCCUGCAGCGCCGCCAGCACUGAGCUCGGCACCUGCAGGCACGCGGCCCAACGCUGGCAGUACCUUGGCGACGCCCAACCUCUGCACAUCACUGGAGGCCGUCUCCUGGUCGUACUCGCCCAGCACCACGGUGUCGGUGGUCCUGGGCAGGGCAGGCGCUGAGCCCCGGGAACACGGACAGCCCCGGUUCCGCGUCCGCCCCAAGGCUGCCCCACGCUUACCUGACCCCACAGUGGGCAGCGGUGACCACCCAUUCCUCGCUGAUCAGCGACCCACCACAGAAGUGGAAGUUGCCAUAGCGCUGCCGGAGAGAGCGGCUGUCAGCCCCACAACCGUGUGGGCCCUUCCCCAUCUCCAUUCCUAGCCCCUUCCCCAUCCCCAUCCCCUUCCCCAUCCCCAUCUCCUUCCCUAUCCCCAUCCCCAUCCCCAUCCCCAUCCCCAUCCCCAUCAUCGCCACCCAUUCUGGUGGGCGCUCACCUGCAGGGGACACCUGCCAGGGCCAGGACCCGGGGCACCGCCGGCUCCCCGUUGACGAUGCGGUUGUAGCCGCGGAUGACGGGCGUGAUGGCAGGCACGCCGCAGCCUGCGGGACAGGGACAACCGUGGGGCCUCGGCCACCUCAGCCCCGCACCCCAANNNNNNNNNNNNNNNNNNNNNNNNNNNNNNNNNNNNNNNNNNNNNNNNNNNNNNNNNNNNNNNNNNNNNNNNNNNNNNNNNNNNNNNNNNNNNNNNNNNNAAAAAAAAAAAGUAUUUUCCUUUCCAAGGUAAUCUGCUGUGUGCCAAAUCAGGUGGCAAAUUUGGGUGUCUGCAGGGUGCAUCUCACCCUGCUGCUGUGCUGAAAGCCCAGGUGUGCUGGAACCCUUUUUGAAUGAAUGUAACCAGGCGUUUUCCCGAUUCUCUCAAAAAUGGAAAUCCACGAGAACCGGUGAGCGAUUCACAGGAGCAAAUGUGGCUGCUGCAGGCAGCACCCGAGGAGGCCCUGAGCGCUGCAGAAGCCCCGUGGAGCUGCAGCUGCAGGAAGCUCUGUGCCUGGGGCCUCUCGUGCUGCUGCGCAGCGUUUCCGUGGGCAGAGCCCGGCCACCCGUGUUUCCUGCCUGCAGGGAGGGGAGCGUUCCUUCUGCUGCGUUCCAGCACUGGCUCAGGAGAAAAUUUGAGAG
Molecule: long non-coding RNA, 3714 nt
Filed under: Meleagris gallopavo (turkey)
Lineage: Eukaryota; Metazoa; Chordata; Aves; Galliformes; Phasianidae
Description: lncRNA (ENSMGAG00000020123.1)
Source: RNAcentral